Molecule: ribosomal RNA, 466 nt
Filed under: uncultured Klebsiella sp.
Lineage: Bacteria; Pseudomonadati; Pseudomonadota; Gammaproteobacteria; Enterobacterales; Enterobacteriaceae
Description: bacterial SSU rRNA
Rfam family: Bacterial small subunit ribosomal RNA
Source: RNAcentral
CCUACGGGCGGCUGCAGUGGGGAAUAUUGCACAAUGGGCGCAAGCCUGAUGCAGCCAUGCCGCGUGUGUGAAGAAGGCCUUCGGGUUGUAAAGCACUUUCAGCGGGGAGGAAGGCGGUGAGGUUAAUAACCUCAUCGAUUGACGUUACCCGCAGAAGAAGCACCGGCUAACUCCGUGCCAGCAGCCGCGGUAAUACGGAGGGUGCAAGCGUUAAUCGGAAUUACUGGGCGUAAAGCGCACGCAGGCGGUCUGUGCAAGUCGGAUGUGAAAUCCCCGGGCUCAACCUGGGAACUGCAUUCGAAACUGGCAGGCUAGAGUCGUGUAGAGGGGGGUAGAAGUCCAGGUGUAGCGGUGAAAUGCGUAGAGAUCUGGAGGAAUACCGGUGGCGAAGGCGGCCCCCUGGACAAAGACUGACGCUCAGGUGCGAAAGCGUGGGGAGCAAACAGGAUUAGAUACCCCGGUAGGC